This 400-nucleotide ribosomal RNA is filed under the name uncultured bacterium. RNAcentral's name for it is "bacterial SSU rRNA". It matches the Rfam family "Bacterial small subunit ribosomal RNA", at positions 355 to 746 of the family's 1533-position model. The record is from RNAcentral.
UGGGGAAUAUUGCGCAAUGGGCGAAAGCCUGACGCAGCAAUACCGCGUGAGUGAGGAAGGUCUUCGGAUUGUAAAGCUCUGUCAGGGUGGAAAAACGGCAGAUGGUCUAAUAGGCCAUUUGAUUGAUGGUACACCCAAAGGAAACACCGGCUAACUUCGUGCCAGCAGCCGCGGUAAUACGAAGGGUGUAAGCGUUGUUCGGAUUUAUUGGGCGUAAAGCGCGCGCAGGCGGAUUUGCAAGUCAGAUGUGAAAUCUCGGUGCUCAACGCCGAAAUUGCGUCUGAAACUACAAGUCUAGAAUAUUGUAGAGGGAAGGGGAAUUUCUCAUGUAGGGGUAAAAUCCGUAGAGAUGAGAAGGAACACCAGAGGCGAAGGCGCCUUCCUGGGCAAUUAUUGACGC